Myzus persicae (green peach aphid) is the source of this 3608-nucleotide long non-coding RNA. RefSeq lists it as uncharacterized. The record is from RefSeq and is a predicted model, not a curated record. Lineage: Eukaryota; Metazoa; Arthropoda; Insecta; Hemiptera; Aphididae. The transcript is spliced from 2 exons.
AUCGUUUUUAUAUUAACAAAUACAUCAUAAAAUAUAGCUAUAAACUGUCAACAUUAUCAUAUUUGAUUCACAUGAUUUAAGAAAGGAAUAUGAAUUGUAAUGCAUUGUAAUUGUUGUUAUUUUAAACAAAUUAAUGUAAUGUAUGUACUAUUGUACACUCUCGGGUGAAAUGUUUUGAUAGGUGCUCGGGAUUUGAACCACAAUGAACCUUUUUCAAAAACGUAUUAUGAUACUACGGUCUACUGUUUUAAUCAAUUUUUAUUAUUGAAUCUUUUAAACAGUGGAGCUUCCACUAGAAAUUUACAGUAAAAUUAGAUGCGUAGAAACGAAAAAGGUAGAUAACGAAUCAUAUUCUUAACAAAAUUAAAAAAUACGAAAAAUGGAAAAACCUGAACCUUUGAAUUUGUGAAAUUUAUAUUGCACUAUUUAGAAUAAUAGUUUAAAAAAAAAUUAUUUUACUUAUUACAGGUAUGUACCUAUCUAUAGUCUUAACAAAAUGUUAAAACUAUAAAGGUACUUGUUGUAAUUAAUAAAAUGUUAUAGGUGGUAUAUUUUGGUAUUAUAGAUUUGUGGCUCAAUCCCCGGCUAAUAAAAUAUAAACAAAUAGUGUGGCCCAAUUACCGACUGUCCGUUUUGAUAAGCUUAAAAGGUUAUAAUUUAACUAAGAAAUUCAAAGAACAAAUCUGAGCAAUAAUAAAUGCAGUGGUCACUUAUAGUUAGUAUUUAUUUAUAAAUAUAUAUAAGUAGGUUGUAGAUACUAACUACUAAUUUUGGUUGUGUAAUGUAUAAUAUUAUAUCAGGUGUAUAGGUACAUAGAGAGUUACAAGUCACAACUAAUUGGUAUCGUGAUUUAUAAAGAUAAACUAUAAUAAUAUUGUACUAUUGUGGAUUGGAGUGAAGUUAUAUGGAGGACAUAAUGGAAUUGAAAUCAGAAUGUAACUUUGAUAGGUCGUAAUUUUUACGUAGUACUAAAAGGUUCAUGACAUUUGUGUGUAGGGGACAGACGCAUAUAUAGGGAAGGCCGUGUUUGUGCCUAAAUACCAAAUUUGAGCUUAUACACAAACACUUCAAUUGCGCUUACUAAAAUUAAAUAACGUUAAAAUACUUGUUUGCGCCCAGUUAUAUUACAAAUCAAUAAAUUUGACAACAUCGCAGUAAAACUUAAAUUUCUCGUCUUAGACUUCGAACUGAAAGAAUAAAAUAUAUUAUAAUUAUUGAAUCAUUCUGGUGUGGUUAAAAAUAAGACUUCACUGUUCUGCUGCGUCAUAUUAAAUUAUUUUUGUUACUUUGACUUUCCUAACCUAAUAAUUGUUAUGAAGUUGUGAUGUCAAUGUAUCUUAAUUUCUUGAUAUCCUGGUGCUUUUUUACAACUGCUUUAUUUUUUGUUUGUUUUAUUGUUGUUCUAACAAGAUUUAUUUUUAAAUACAUAUAUGUUUGAAAUUCUAUUAAGACUUCCACACAUUUUACAAUUGCUGGAUGAGCAUUAAGAAAAUAACGAAUUAAAAUGUUUAUGAAAUGAUUCACAUGCUUUUGUUGUCUGUGUUUGAUUAUUACAUUCUUUUGUUCAGAGAAAAUACACUAUUUUCGUUUAUAAAAUUGUCAACAAAAUAACCAGCAUAUAAUUGUAUUUUUUUUCUUUCUGAAAUUUCCAACAUUAGUUCCAAAAAGCAAUCUGGUACUUCUAGUGGAUGUAAAAAUCUAAGACUAAAACAAUAUUGUAACCAUUUUCCUUCUGGACUAUUAGAUUUAAAUAUAUUUGUUAAUCCAAGAUUUUGAAUUUUUCUGAACCAACAUUGUCCCAAGUGAAAUCUGUAGGCAGAAAGUUUUAUUUCUUUUUAAAAAACAGAAUAUAUUUCAACAUAUGAAUACUCAAAGUUUAGAUUUAAACAUAAAAGUUUAAUAUUUUCAAAUACAUAUUCAUAGACUUCAUAAUAUUUUUAUUUUAACAAACAAAAUACCAGAGGUAUGUAAUGAUUAUUAUAAAAUCCAUGAUUUGUAAAAAGUUGACAGAAAAAACUGUGUGCAGGAAGUAAAUUUGUACCAAACUUAAAAAACUGUACACUUGUAUUACGCUUAAAAAUUACAAUAUUUUUUCUAUGUAUUCUAUGUCAUGUAUUGCAAUCAUCCAUUCGCCUUUAAAUUGAUUUUCUGAUAAUAAAAAUUCUUGAACUUCAAGAAUAUUUUUUGGAAUAUUUUUUUGCAUGUUUCUACGCGGGUAUACUUACAUUCCAUCACGAAUUAAUUUAAUUUAAUUUGAUUAAUCUAACGUGUCGACACUAUUCUUUGUAAUUUUAGAACGUAUAGUUUUAAUUGGACGAUCAUGUCCAAUGGAGUCAUGUCUUUGGCUCUUUUUUACACGCACUCCAAAUGUGUUGAUGAUUUAAUUUUGUUCACCAGUAUUAUAUUAAUAUGGUUGUGAUUUAAAUUGCUACUUACAGUUACAUUUCCAUUUUUAUUAUUCUUGCUAAACACGAUUUCGUUGUACUACGCCACGUUACAUUACCAGAUAAACUUUCAUACAAUUUUCUACAUUUAAAACUUUCAACAAUUAAUAAAUCUUUAACAUUUUUACUUGCAUUUUUUGAAAAAAAAUUACAUCAAACAGAAUUAAGUAUGUGAAGUAUGACGACAACGACUGACUAGCGUUUGAGAAAUGUCGUGUAUCGUAGGUAUCGACUAUCGGGGUAAUAAAAAUGAUCAACAGCAAAGAAGCACAGUUAGAUCGUAUGAUUAUGUCGAAUCACGACAGAUAGGUAUAAAAAUUAAAUUUCCCCACGUCGCGUCGCACAGUAGUUAAAAAUGGAAAUAUUUGGAUACAAUUUGAUAUAACAUCAAAUCACGCUUUAUGAACUAAGCGUUGCCAAAUUAAUUGAUUUGUAAUGUAACUAGGCCUUUAACAAGUAUUUGUGCAUAUUUUAAUUUUAUUAGGCGCAAUCCAGGUUUUUGAGUAUAGGCGCAGAAACAGUCGACCCCAUUUUUAUUAUAUCAUAAAAACGCAAUGACGAAUUGACGUUGCCUAUUGUAUUAGAGAAUUUCAUUAGAAAAAAAACAUACGAAUAAAUACAUUUUGAAUAAUCUCGUAUGGGACACAAUAUAUAAUGCAGCUCGUUGUAUGCGGAGAUAAAUAUUGAAAAUUAGAGCAGCCCUUAUAAUUUUUAUCCAUUGUAUGCUCAUAUCCUUGUGAAUGAAUCCCCCCCCCCCCAAAAAAAAAACCAUCCAAUUGGCGAUUUCCAUAUAGUUGCAUCUCAUUAGUCAUUUAUUAGAAAUAAGCGGUGUGAUUAUGGCAUCAUGGGCUAUAUAAGUAUACAGACAAAUAAUAAACCUAUUAUACUGUUUUUAUGCAAGAAUAGGUGCAUUACAUUUUAACUCCCAGCUUAAUUUGUAUAGCUAACAAGCUAAAAAAAAGGUUUGAAUGUUGAGAUAUUAAUUAGUAAAAGUCGAUGUAGUAAAGAUAAUGAUAACUUGUAAAAAUCAUCUAAACAUUUCUUUGCAAUAUGUAAAUUAAACACAUACGAAGAAAAUAUAAUUAUGCUACGAUAAAAUAUAAAGAAAAAAACAAUUUGGGUUUAGCUUAGUUUGCUUCCUUGUGGUGACCUUGGAUAAUGUUA